AAUCUAUAGAAACGUUUUCCGUGCCGGACCGUGUCCAAGUCCCUUGGAACAGGGUAUCAAAGAGGGUGACAAUCCCGUACUUGACACGACUACCGGUGCUCUGUGAUACGUUUUCUACGAGUCGAGUUGUUUGGGAAUGCAGCUCAAAAUGGGUGGUGAGUUCCAUCUAAAGCUAAAUAUUGGCGUAAGACCGAUAGCGAACAAGUACCGUGAGGGAAAGAUGAAAAGCACUUUGGAAAGAGAGUUAAACAGUACGUGAAAUUGUUGAAAGGGAAACGAUUGAAAGUCAGUCGUGACCGAGAGGCUCAGCCGGCUCUGCCGGUGUAUUCCCCUCGGUCGGGUCAACAUCAGUUUUGUCCGGUGGAUAAGGGCGUUAGGAAGGUAGCUCCCACGGGAGUGUUAUAGCCUGACGUCGCAUACACUGGGUGAGCGUUGACCUCCGGGUCUA
RNAcentral lists this ribosomal RNA (448 nucleotides) under Papiliotrema frias. RNAcentral describes it as "eukaryotic LSU rRNA". It matches the Rfam family "Eukaryotic large subunit ribosomal RNA", at positions 147 to 602 of the family's 3401-position model. Lineage: Eukaryota; Fungi; Basidiomycota; Tremellomycetes; Tremellales; Rhynchogastremaceae. The record is from RNAcentral.